UCCUUCUCUCUGUUAUAGUCUACUCUCUCAUUUCUAAACUCUAGAUCUGCUCAUCUCAUAUUUCAUUCUCUAACUCUCAAAACCUAAACCACCUCCAUCCCACCACCACACCUCCACCAUCAAAACCACCGUCGCCACUGUACAUCCACCGUCACCACCACCACUACACCGUCACCACCACAAAACCCAUCACCGCUACACCUCCACCAUCAACACCACCGUCGCCGUCGCCACUGCACCUCCACCGUCACCACCAUUACACCGUCACCGCCACAACACCCACCACCGCUACACCUCUACCGUCACCACCAUCACCACUGCACCUCCAUCAACACCUCCACACCUCCACCAUCAACACCACAACACCCACCACCGCUACAGUGGAUGAUCAGAUCUUUGGGGGUUUUGUUCUUCAAUUGGUUUCUGACGAAAUUAGGUGUAAUGGCUGCAAAAUUAACUGAAUUUAUGAGGGAUAAGUUGAAGGAAUAAUAAAAAGAUUACAAAUGUUGGAUGUGUGAAGAAGAUGAUGAUACCAGGUGAGGGGCAGAUGGUUGUAGCAAGAUCUUGAAGAAGGAAGGAUUCUGUCGAUGAGCCAUUCAAAGUUUGCACAGAUUCAAGAGUGGGUAUAGUAUUGAUUGUAUGCAUCUUUCUAUUUGAUGAACAAUUUGGAAUUGAAUUGGGUGUUUAUAUUUCUUCAUACUGGAGAAUAAAAUGAUACCAUUCAGUGAUAUUUUGAGUUGAAAUAGAGAAAAUCAUGCUCAAACACAUCAAUUAAUUACCUCUUGUGUCUCUGUUCUGCAAUUUUGCUUUAAACCAGUUAGUUACAUUUGAUUGCUUCAAUAUUGGCUUAAUGAAAAUCUGUUCUUCAUUGCUUCAAUCAAUUGAACUUAUACUUGAUUUUUUGAUGACUAGGAUUAAACAGAGUUAG
Molecule: long non-coding RNA, 928 nt
Filed under: Helianthus annuus (common sunflower)
Lineage: Eukaryota; Viridiplantae; Streptophyta; Magnoliopsida; Asterales; Asteraceae
Description: hypothetical non coding rna
Source: RNAcentral